Molecule: ribosomal RNA, 417 nt
Filed under: Dysmachus dasyproctus
Lineage: Eukaryota; Metazoa; Arthropoda; Insecta; Diptera; Asilidae
Description: partial small subunit ribosomal RNA
Source: RNAcentral
UUUUUUUUGCUUNNNNNNNAAAUUUUAUUUUUUAAACUAGGAUUAGAUACCCUAUUAUUUUAAAGUGUNNUUAUUAUAUACCUAGGUAGUAUUAGUUAUGGUCUUGAAACUUAAAAAAUUUGGCGGUAUUUUAGUCCAUUCAGAGGAACCUGUUCUGUAAUCGAUAAUCCACGUUGGAUCUUACUUAGUUUAUUAUAGUUUGUAUACCGCCGUUAUGGAUUAUUUUAUUAGAAUAAUAAUUUUCAAUUGUUUUUAUUAAAAUUAAUAUCAGGUCAAGGUGCAGCUUAUAAUUAAGUGUAAAAUGGGUUACAAUAAGUUUACUUAUAACGUAUAUUAAAUUUAAAUUUUUAAUUGAAGGUGGAUUUCAUAGUAAAAUUAUGGAGAUAGUUAAUUUGAUUUUGGCUCUAGAAUAUGUAC